GUGGGGAAUAUUGCACAAUGGGCGAAAGCCUGAUGCAGCAACGCCGCGUGAGUGAUGAAGGUCUUCGGAUUGUAAAGCUCUGUCUUUUGGGACGAUAAUGACGGUACCAAAGGAGGAAGCCACGGCUAACUACGUGCCAGCAGCCGCGGUAAUACGUAGGUGGCGAGCGUUGUCCGGAUUUACUGGGCGUAAAGGGUGCGUAGGCGGAUGUUUAAGUGAGAUGUGAAAUACCCGGGCUUAACUUGGGUGCUGCAUUUCAAACUGGAUAUCUAGAGUGCAGGAGAGGAGAAUGGAAUUCCUAGUGUAGCGGUGAAAUGCGUAGAGAUUAGGAAGAACACCAGUGGCGAAGGCGAUUCUCUGGACUGUAACUGACGCUGAGGCACGAAAGCGUGGGUAGCAAACAGGAUUAGAUACCCUGGUAGUCCACGCCGUAAACGAUGAGUACUAGGUGUAGGAGGUAUCGACCCCUUCUGUGCCGCAGUAAACACAUUAAGUACUCCGCCUGGGAAGUACGAUCGCAA
RNAcentral lists this ribosomal RNA (521 nucleotides) under uncultured bacterium. RNAcentral's name for it is "partial 16S ribosomal RNA". It matches the Rfam family "Bacterial small subunit ribosomal RNA", at positions 354 to 891 of the family's 1533-position model. The record is from RNAcentral.